GACGGAGGGCGCAAGCGUUGUUCGGAAUUACUGGGCGUAAAGCGCGGGCAGGCGGUCUGUUAAGUCGGCUGUGAAAACCCGGGGCUCAACCCCGUGGAAUGCAGACGAUACUGGCAGACUGGAGACCGGUAGAGGCUAGCGGAAUUCCAGGUGUAGCGGUGGAAUGCGUAGAUAUCUGGAAGAACACCUGUGGCGAAGGCGGCUAGCUGGGCCGGGUCUGACGCUCAUCCGCGAAAGCGUGGGGAGCAAACAGG
Molecule: ribosomal RNA, 254 nt
Filed under: uncultured bacterium
Lineage: Bacteria
Description: partial 16S ribosomal RNA
Rfam family: Bacterial small subunit ribosomal RNA
Source: RNAcentral